RNAcentral lists this ribosomal RNA (759 nucleotides) under Neisseria subflava. RNAcentral's name for it is "bacterial SSU rRNA". It matches the Rfam family "Bacterial small subunit ribosomal RNA", at positions 28 to 776 of the family's 1533-position model. Lineage: Bacteria; Pseudomonadati; Pseudomonadota; Betaproteobacteria; Neisseriales; Neisseriaceae. The record is from RNAcentral.
AUUGAACGCUGGCGGCAUGCUUUACACAUGCAAGUCGGACGGCAGCACAGAGAAGCUUGCUUCUUGGGUGGCGAGUGGCGAACGGGUGAGUAAUAUAUCGGAACGUACCGAGUAAUGGGGGAUAACUAAUCGAAAGAUUAGCUAAUACCGCAUAUUCUCUGAGGAGGAAAGCAGGGGACCUUCGGGCCUUGCGUUAUUCGAGCGGCCGAUAUCUGAUUAGCUAGUUGGUGGGGUAAAGGCCUACCAAGGCGACGAUCAGUAGCGGGUCUGAGAGGAUGAUCCGCCACACUGGGACUGAGACACGGCCCAGACUCCUACGGGAGGCAGCAGUGGGGAAUUUUGGACAAUGGGCGCAAGCCUGAUCCAGCCAUGCCGCGUGUCUGAAGAAGGCCUUCGGGUUGUAAAGGACUUUUGUCAGGGAAGAAAAGGCUGUUGCUAAUACCGACAGCUGAUGACGGUACCUGAAGAAUAAGCACCGGCUAACUACGUGCCAGCAGCCGCGGUAAUACGUAGGGUGCGAGCGUUAAUCGGAAUUACUGGGCGUAAAGCGAGCGCAGACGGUUACUUAAGCAGGAUGUGAAAUCCCCGGGCUCAACCUGGGAACUGCGUUCUGAACUGGGUGACUAGAGUGUGUCAGAGGGAGGUAGAAUUCCACGUGUAGCAGUGAAAUGCGUAGAGAUGUGGAGGAAUACCGAUGGCGAACGCAGCCUCCUGGGAUAACACUGACGUUCAUGCUCUAAAGCGUGGGUAGCAAACAGG